This is a long non-coding RNA of Ipomoea nil (Japanese morning glory), 97 nucleotides long. RefSeq lists it as uncharacterized. Lineage: Eukaryota; Viridiplantae; Streptophyta; Magnoliopsida; Solanales; Convolvulaceae. The transcript has 3 exons. The record is from RefSeq and is a predicted model, not a curated record.
UAUAUAUAUAUAUGAGCUGAAUCAAUAUUGAGAUUGAUUUGUAAUGUCUAAAAUGCUUUCGAAUCCGCCGGAGACGUCUGUUUUGCUUCAAAAACUC